This 2159-nucleotide long non-coding RNA is filed under the name Daucus carota (carrot). Its description in RNAcentral is "long non-coding RNA (DCAR_LNC004923)". Lineage: Eukaryota; Viridiplantae; Streptophyta; Magnoliopsida; Apiales; Apiaceae. The record is from RNAcentral.
AUCUCGUAAUCUCUAGACCAUCUCUAGCUAUACUCUAUUCGCCACAUCGCUUCGCUUACUCGAUUCAUCCCUUAUUCGCUUUGCAAUACCAUUCCGACUUUCUGACGUCUUCGAGCGUACACGUCUCGUCCAAAUCCUUUACGAGAAUAAGAUAAUACUAUAGUCACUAAACAAUAUAUCGCAUAUACAUAUCACGUAUAUCGAUACCCACUUAUAUAUCCCUUUAAACUUAUCAGAUACCACGUAACACAUAAGCAUGCUUUGACUCUAACAUAUAGUCAAUCAUAUUCCACAUAACAUAUCACCAAUCAAUUAUCAUAUAAAUCCUUAUCGAAAAUCCGACAUCGUCUCGUCUAUGUAUAAGACUAUCCACCUGUUAUCCUAUCUCAAUCAUUAAUCAACCAACAAAAUCCAAUAACUAUAAUCCAUAUAUUCUUAUCCAAUAUCAAUCAUACGAAUCAUUUAUCACUUCACAAUAUCAAAACUAACACGUACUUCACAUAAUCAUCACUUGAUAGCACUUAGAUCACAUAUUAUCACAUUAUGCAUACUUAUCAACAAUUAUUCACCUUAUAGACUCAGCCAUAUAGUCACAUCAUAUUAAAAUAGACGUUAUAAGCUUCUGUCUCUCUUUCGUUUCACUUGAUUCCGACUUACGGAUCAAAAGUUAUGCUCAAAACAGUUUUCUCACUCUCCUAUCGGCACAUAACACAUCCAACCAAUAGCAGACAACACACAACACAUAAGGUUUCCCAUCCCAAUUGAUAUUAAAUCAAGUCUUGGGUUAAAAAUGAUUUUUCGGGAAUUUUCUGGAAUUUUUAAACAUUUUUCGGAAUUAAAAUCGAUAAAAGAAUCACUUUUCGGAUAAAUAAUCAAGUCCCAAAUACUUGAAAUUGGACUUGAAAUCAUUCAUAAACAAUUAUCGAGCCUUGAAAAUAAUUUGGAAAAAUAUUUUAAAGCUCGAAACUAUUUUUCGGAAUUUUUAAAUCAAAAAGGAUUAAUUAAAUCCAAUUAAUUAACCAAUUAAAAUCAAUUAAUAAUUAAUUAAAAUAAUUAAUCAAUUAAUAUUUAAAUUAAUUGACCAAUUAAAAUAAUUAAUUACUAAUUAAAAUUAAUUAAUAAACUAAUUUAGAUUUAUUUUUUAAAUAAAGAAAUAAUUAAAAAUCAUUUUUGAAAUUUAAAAUAAUUAAAUAAAACAAUUUUUGAAAAUUAAAAUCAAAAGGUUUAAAGUGUAAAAUUUUGAAAGUUUUGUUCAGGGUUUAAAGUGUAACUUUCAGAAGUUACAGGGGCUGUUUCGUAAGUUUCAAAACCUCAGUACUCAAACUUCACCAUCUUCAUAAGUUGGGUGACCAAACGGCAAUUUGCCGCCGGCCACCACUAACUUCGCCGGAUUCGGCGUUCUUGGCGUCCAUUCGACACCAAAACCUCCAGAUAAACUCUAUAUGCUACCCACAACUCGUUUCUGAAAUCAAAAUCAUCAAACAAGGUCUAAAUUGGCCGUAAAAUCCGGCCAAAGUUCAUCCGCCGCCGGCGAGCUUUCAAGCUCCGGCGUGCUUUAAAAACGAAACCUCCCUACUUUUUGAGACCACCAAAUGAUUCCUCAUCUCCUAUUCUAUCUGUUUUCACCCUCCAUACAUCCCCAGAUUCAACCGUUUGCAAAGCCCCAAAAUCGAAUUGAAAACAUUCAAGAACACUCAAGAACACCCCUCAAGAAUCAAACCCACUUUUCUAGGUGUUAUGGAACUCAAAAAUCAACAUAUAAUAUACCAAAACGACGAGAAAAACAUGCUCUACAACAUGGAAUCAUCAAAACAAUCAAACAAACACGUUUGCAAAAAUUCACUAUUUAAAUCAUAAUAAUUCGAAUUUUAAAACUUCAAUUACUCCCUACCUGUGAAUCUCAUGUUGUUUUUGAUGAUUGAUUUGGGUUCUACUCUUCGAUAUCUUCGAUUUGACUAUUCGCACGCUUGAUUCUGACUCCAAUAACACCUUCAAAUCUUCGUUUGAUUAUGAAGAACACGAAGAACACCGCUCGGUUUCUCUCGGUAUUCGUGCAGAGAAACUGGUGAAAUGAUUUUACGGGUGAAAAUAAGCUCUAGAAAGGUCUAUUUAUAUUUACAAAUAAUUGGUACCCCUUUGGAUCGUUUAUGACAUGAAAA